Molecule: ribosomal RNA, 484 nt
Filed under: uncultured bacterium
Lineage: Bacteria
Description: partial 16S ribosomal RNA
Rfam family: Bacterial small subunit ribosomal RNA
Source: RNAcentral
AUUGAACGCUGGCGGCAGGCCUAACACAUGCAAGUCGAGCGGAUGAAGGGAGCUUGCUCCUGGAUUCAGCGGCGGACGGGUGAGUAAUGCCUAGGAAUCUGCCUGGUAGUGGGGGAUAACGUCCGGAAACGGGCGCUAAUACCGCAUACGUCCUGAGGGAGAAAGUGGGGGAUCUUCGGACCUCACGCUAUCAGAUGAGCCUAGGUCGGAUUAGCUAGUUGGUGGGGUAAAGGCCUACCAAGGCGACGACCCGUAACUGGUCUGAGAGGGUGAUCAGUCACACUGGAACUGAGACGCGGUCCAGACUCCUACGGGAGGCAGCAGUGGGGAAUAUUGGACAAUGGGCGAAAGCCUGAUCCAGCCAUGCCGCGUGUGUGAAGAAGGCCUUCGGAUUGUAAAGCACUUUAAGUUGGGAGGAAGGGCAGUAAGUUAAUACCUUGCUGUUUUGACGUUACCAACAGAAUAAGCACCGGCUAACUUCGUG